GGAGCAUGUGGUUUAAUUAGUUGAUAAGAGAGGAACUUUACUUGGGGUGGAAUGAAGUGUGAGGGUGAAUGAAAGAAAAUUUGGUGCCAAUAGGAAGGUUGAAAGGUGGUGCAUGGCGGUUGUCAGCUCGUGUCGUGAGGUGUUGGGUUAAGUCCCGCAACGAGCGCAACCCCUAUCUUUAGUUGCCAUCAGGUUAAGGUGGGAACUCUUAAGAGACUGCCCUGGUAAAAAGGGGGGAAGGGGGGGAGGAUGUCAAGUCAUCAUGGCCCCUAUGUCCAGGGGUACACAC
This 289-nucleotide ribosomal RNA is filed under the name uncultured Enterobacterales bacterium. RNAcentral describes it as "partial 16S ribosomal RNA". It matches the Rfam family "Bacterial small subunit ribosomal RNA", at positions 934 to 1221 of the family's 1533-position model. The record is from RNAcentral. Lineage: Bacteria; Pseudomonadati; Pseudomonadota; Gammaproteobacteria; Enterobacterales.